RNAcentral lists this ribosomal RNA (388 nucleotides) under uncultured bacterium. RNAcentral describes it as "bacterial SSU rRNA". It matches the Rfam family "Bacterial small subunit ribosomal RNA", at positions 28 to 418 of the family's 1533-position model. The record is from RNAcentral.
GACGAACGCUGGCGGCGUGCUUAACACAUGCAAGUCGAGCGGUAAGGCCCUUUCGGGGGUACACGAGCGGCGAACGGGUGAGUAACACGUGGGUGACCUGCCCUCAGCUCUGGGAUAAGCCUGGGAAACUGGGUCUAAUACUGGAUAUGACUCCACGGUGCAUGUCGUGGGGUGGAAAGCCUUGUGCGGCUGAGGAUGGGCCCGCGGCCUAUCAGCUUGUUGGUGGGGUGAGGCCUACCAAGGCGACGACGGGUAGCCGGCCUGAGAGGGCGACCGGCCACACUGGGACUGAGACACGGCCCAGACUCCUACGGGAGGCAGCAGUGGGGAAUCUUGCGCAAUGGGCGAAAGCCUGACGCAGCGACGCCGCGUGAGGGAUGACGGCCUU